This 809-nucleotide ribosomal RNA is filed under the name uncultured marine Geminigeraceae. RNAcentral describes it as "SSU rRNA". It matches the Rfam family "Eukaryotic small subunit ribosomal RNA", at positions 443 to 1266 of the family's 1831-position model. Lineage: Eukaryota; Cryptophyceae; Pyrenomonadales; Geminigeraceae. The record is from RNAcentral.
ACCCAAUCCCGAUUCGGGGAGGUAGUGACAAUAAAUAACAAUACAGGGCCAACGGUCUUGUUAUUGGAAUGAGAACAAUUUAAAUAACUUAACGAGGAUCAAUUAGAGGGCAAGUCUGGUGCCAGCAGCCGCGGUAAUUCCAGCUCUAAUAGCGUAUAUUAAAGUUGUUGCAGUUAAAAAGCUCGUAGUCGGAUGUCGGGCUCGGGCAAGCUGUCGGCCUUUGGUCGGACGGCAGGCUCGGGUCUUUCUGCCUGAGGAACCCGGUUGCUUUAACGAGCUGCCGGUGGACGCAGGUCGUUUACUUUGAAAAAAUUAGAGUGUUCAAAGCAGGCUAGCGCUUGAAUACAUUAGCAUGGAAUAAUGGAAUAGGACUUUGGUGCUAUUUUGUUGGUUUAUGGGACCGAAGUAAUGAUUAACAGGGACAGUUGGGGCCGUUUAUAUUUCGUUGUCAGAGGUGAAAUUCUUGGAUUUACGGAAGAUAAACUUCUGCGAAAGCAUUCGGCAAGGAUGUUUUCAUUGAUCAAGAACGAAAGUUAGGGGAUCGAAGACGAUCAGAUACCGUCGUAGUCUUAACCAUAAACUAUGCCGACUAGGGAUCAGUGGAUGUCAAUUUGCGACUCCAUUGGCACCUUGUGAGAAAUCAAAGUUUUUGGGUUCCGGGGGGAGUAUGGUCGCAAGGCUGAAACUUAAAGGAAUUGACGGAAGGGCACCACCAGGAGUGGAGCCUGCGGCUUAAUUUGACUCAACACGGGGAAACUUACCAGGUCCAGACAUAGUAAGGAUUGACAGAUUGAAAGCUCUUUCUUGAU